UUCGGGUUGUCAUGCCAAUGGCACUGCCCGGUAGCUACGUUCGGAACUGAUAAGCGCUGAAAGCAUCUAAGCGCGAAGCAGGCCUCGAGAUGAGUUCUCACUAGACUUUUAAAGUCUCUGAAGGGCCGUUGAAGACUACAACGUUGAUAGGCAGGAUGUGGAAGUGGUGUGAGCCAUUAAGCUAACCUGUACUAAUUACCCGUGAGGCUUAACCAUACAACGCCAAACGCGUUU
RNAcentral lists this ribosomal RNA (234 nucleotides) under Pseudoalteromonas lipolytica. Its description in RNAcentral is "partial 23S ribosomal RNA". It matches the Rfam family "Bacterial large subunit ribosomal RNA", at positions 2715 to 2925 of the family's 2925-position model. Lineage: Bacteria; Pseudomonadati; Pseudomonadota; Gammaproteobacteria; Alteromonadales; Pseudoalteromonadaceae. The record is from RNAcentral.